RNAcentral lists this ribosomal RNA (465 nucleotides) under uncultured bacterium. RNAcentral describes it as "partial 16S ribosomal RNA". It matches the Rfam family "Bacterial small subunit ribosomal RNA", at positions 28 to 507 of the family's 1533-position model. The record is from RNAcentral.
GACGAACGCUGGCGGCGUGCUUAACACAUGCAAGUCGAACGGAAAGGCCCCUUUUGUGGUACUCGAUUGGCUAACGGGUGAGUAACACGUGCGUAACCUGCCCUUGCCUUCCUGUUAACUUCCUUCAACUGGGGCUAAUACCUACUAGGUAUCCUUUCUUCCUGCUUGGGGUUGGAUAGCUUCUGCGGUUUUGGAUGGACUCGCGGCUUAUCAGCUUGUUUGUUGGGUAGUGGGUUACCAAGGCUUUCAAGGGUAGCCGGCCUGAGAGGGGGACCGGCCACAAUGGGACUGAAGUAAGGCCCAGACUCCUACGGGAAGGAAGAGUGGGGAAUAUUGCAAAAUGGGCGGAAGCCUGAUGGAGCAAAGCCGCGUGCGGGAUGGAGGGCUUCGGGUUGUAAACCGGCUUCAGCAGGGGAGAAGCUUGUGGUGACGGUACCUGGAGAAGAAGCACCGGCUAACUACGUG